RNAcentral lists this ribosomal RNA (30 nucleotides) under Laccaria bicolor. Its description in RNAcentral is "partial 18S ribosomal RNA". Lineage: Eukaryota; Fungi; Basidiomycota; Agaricomycetes; Agaricales; Hydnangiaceae. The record is from RNAcentral.
UACGUAGUGACCUGCGGAGGAUCAUUAUUG